UUUUUGCGGAGAGUUUGAUCCUGGCUCAGGAUGAACGCUGGCGGCGUGCCUAAUACAUGCAAGUCGAACGGAGGCAUUAGCAAUAGUGCCUUAGUGGCGAACGGGUGAGUAACGCGUUGGUGACCUGCCCCAAAGUGUGGGAUAACAGUCCGAAAGGAUUGCUAAUACCGCAUGUGGUUUUCUGGAUUAGAUGCCAGAUUUCUAAAGGAGAAAUCCGCUUUGGGAGGGGCCUGCGUCCCAUCAGCUAGUUGGUAGGGUAAUGGCCUACCAAGGCUUCGACGGGUAAGGGGCCUGAGAGGGUGGCCCCUCA
This 310-nucleotide ribosomal RNA is filed under the name Anaerolineae bacterium. RNAcentral describes it as "bacterial SSU rRNA". It matches the Rfam family "Bacterial small subunit ribosomal RNA", at positions 1 to 310 of the family's 1533-position model. Lineage: Bacteria; Bacillati; Chloroflexota; Anaerolineae. The record is from RNAcentral.